Molecule: long non-coding RNA, 65 nt
Organism: Lutra lutra (Eurasian river otter)
Lineage: Eukaryota; Metazoa; Chordata; Mammalia; Carnivora; Mustelidae
Exons: 2
Source: RefSeq, a predicted model, not a curated record
AAUGCAGAUGAGCGUCCCCGGGUCUCCGCAGGAGCAAGAGGAAAGAAGUGGAAAAAGUAAAGGAA